Molecule: small nuclear RNA, 107 nt
Organism: Callithrix jacchus (white-tufted-ear marmoset)
Lineage: Eukaryota; Metazoa; Chordata; Mammalia; Primates; Cebidae
Source: Ensembl
GUGCUUGCUUCAGCAGCACAUAUACAAAAAUUGAAAUCAUACAGAGAAGAUUAGCAUGGCCCCUUCACAAGGAUGACACACAAAUUCGUGAAGUGUUCCAUAUUAUU